Molecule: ribosomal RNA, 82 nt
Filed under: Meteorium flexicaule
Lineage: Eukaryota; Viridiplantae; Streptophyta; Bryopsida; Hypnales; Meteoriaceae
Description: partial 5.8S ribosomal RNA
Rfam family: 5.8S ribosomal RNA
About the family: 5.8S ribosomal RNA (5.8S rRNA) is a component of the large subunit of the eukaryotic ribosome. It is transcribed by RNA polymerase I as part of the 45S precursor that also contains 18S and 28S rRNA.
Source: RNAcentral
GCAGAAUUCCGCGAAUCAUCGAGUCUUUGAACGCAAGUNGCGCCCGAGGCUUGUCCAAGGGCAUUUCCGCUAGAGCGUCACC